GACGUAGGGCGCAAGCGUUGUCCGGAUUUAUUGGGCGUAAAGAGCUCGUAGGCGGCUUGCCACGUCUGCCGUGAAAACCAGCAGCUUAACUGUUGGCUUGCGGUUGAUACGGGUUGGCUGGAGUCCGGUAGGGGAGUGGGGAAUUCCUGGUGUAGCGGUGAAAUGCGCAGAUAUCAGGAGGAACACCGGUGGCGAAGGCGCCACUCUGGGCCGGUACUGACGCUGAGGAGCGAAAGCUAGGGGAGCAAACGGG
RNAcentral lists this ribosomal RNA (253 nucleotides) under uncultured bacterium. RNAcentral describes it as "partial 16S ribosomal RNA". It matches the Rfam family "Bacterial small subunit ribosomal RNA", at positions 524 to 776 of the family's 1533-position model. The record is from RNAcentral.